CCUACGGGAGGCAGCAGUAGGGAAUAUUGCUCAAUGGGGGAAACCCUGAAGCAGCAACGCCGCGUGGAGGAUGAAGGUUUUCGGAUUGUAAACUCCUUUUGUUAGAGAAGAUAAUGACGGUAGCUAACGAAUAAGCACCGGCGAACGCCGUGCCAGCAGCCGCGGUAAGACGGAGGGUGCAAGCGUUACUCGGAAUCACUGGGCGGAACGAGCGCGUAGGCGGGAUAGCAAGUCAGAUGUGAACUCCUAGGGCUGAACCAUAGAACUGCAUUUGAAACGGUUAUUCUAGAGUAUGGGAGUGGUAGGUGGCAUUCUUGGUGUAGGGGUAAAAUCCGUCGAGAUCAAGAGGACUACUCAUUGCGACGGCGACCUGCUAGAACAUACCUGACGCUGCUGCGCGACAGCGUGGGGAGCAAACAGGAUUAGAUACCCCGGUAGUC
This 440-nucleotide ribosomal RNA is filed under the name uncultured bacterium. RNAcentral's name for it is "partial 16S ribosomal RNA". It matches the Rfam family "Bacterial small subunit ribosomal RNA", at positions 338 to 795 of the family's 1533-position model. The record is from RNAcentral.